CCAAGCAGCACCACCCACUCACGCCUUCAACCUUGGCCGUGUUGCUUCUGCUGCGGCAACCACAGCCUUGGCCCUACUCCAAAGACUGUUCCUUCUCACUUGAGUCAUUUUCAUAAGCAACUGCUGAAAACUGGAAAGGCAAGGCUCGGUCUAUACCCUCUUGGCCACGGAAGAGAGAGGACCUCAAAAUGAAAGCAGAGCAUUUUUUCUUAAGGCUCCUGCCAGGAAUCCACAGUCGGCUGUGAGAUCCCACUAGAGCCGGAGGCACCACACCUGCUCUCCCUGGAUCUGCAGCUCCAUCAGGGAUCAGCCUUGGACUCAGCACCCCUUCUUACAGAUAUCUGGGUACUACGGCCCAGCCAAACCGACACAUGGAAUCAAACACCGUAGGUGCCAUGAACUGACCUCGAUCCUGGGCGACGGGAGUGACGGAGACAGACUGGAGCUCUUACAUUCCAGGGCGGGAAAAGAAACACACGGUGCACACAUAUAUGCCAGGUGAUUAAUCCUAAUGCUACGAAGAGACAUAAAGCAGGUGAAGUGAAAGAAACCGCUGAAGGUUGUCGUUCCUGGUAGGUUCGGUCAGAGAGGGUCACCCUGGGAAGAUAACGCUGCAGCAGAGACCUACAUGAAGUAAAGAAGCAAGUCGUGUGAGUAUGUGGGCUGAAGAACAUUCUAGGCUGAGCGCAAACAGCAAGUGCAAAGGCCCCGUUUACAGGAAGGUUGGGAGCACGUCCCCUGCUCACAGACCGAAGGUCCACCAGCCUCUCCCUCCGAGAGAAUCUCCCCUCCGAUACGCUCUGUCCACCCCUUCCGAUCCCCGACAGAACACCCAGGAGCCCAGGCUUCCAGGAAACAAAAGCUAAGAAGGAAAUUGGUCUGUGAGCAACUUCUCUGUUGGCGAUAUGAUCUGCCUGAGCAAGACUUGGAUACUUCCUUGGAGAGGAGCGAGAGGAGCGAGGCGGGGAACAUACAACAAAUCAAAAAUUAAUUUCUCAAAACAUGAAACAGCCACAGGAACAGCUGCUCCCCAUCCCACCCCUGACUCCCAUGGGGCAAUUCGGGCAGAUUUGGAGGUGAGGAAGGGACACAAGGGAAGGAGAAGCAAGAGCCCUCCCGUUUUUUGAACUCUCGGAUUCAGAAGAAUUCACAGACUUCCGGGCCAAAGUCUAGCCUUGACUUUGGCCCCUCGGGCAGGAAGUCCAGCAGAGACUGAAAGCCCGCGGCUGGGCGGAGGGAAAUGCGAGGGGGGGACCGGCCGCCACCCCGCCCGCCAGCGUCACCGAGCGCCCUGGACAGAAGCCUGAGGGGCCUGCUGCACCGCCGGCCUGCACCCUGAGGGGGAGCCUCCGUGAUCACAGUGACCACCCCUCGGGGGACAGGAGUCGGCAAGGGGCCCUGGCCUCCCCACGCCCGAGUUGUGACGUGAGGUGGAAAAGCAGGAGGAGACGCACACUGACGCCAGGGCCUCCCGUGGGAAGGCUGAGCCUGCAGCCAGAGGCCGCAGCGGGGAGGGGGGCGGCGGCUCCAGGAAGGGGUGGUGACCAGGUCGGUGCCCCCUGAGCCCUCUCCCUCCCUCCCUCCUACAUUGCAGCUCCAGCACCCACCCCCACGCACACGCACACACACACAUGCAUGUGCACGCACGCAUGCACACACGCAGGCAUGCACACCCACCUCCCCACGCACACACAAGCACGCACGCAUGCACAUGAGCACAUGCAUGCAUACCCACACACGUGCAUGCACAAGCACACACAUGCAUCACACGCACCCACACAUGCAUGCACGCACCCACAUACGCACGUACACAUGCAUAUGUGUGUGCACACAUGCAUGCACAUGCACACACAUGCACGCACACACCCACACAUGCACACACAUGCAUGCAUACACAACACCCACACACAUACACAUGCACUCACACCCACACAUGCACGCACACACACCCAUGCAUGCACACGCACGUACACAUGCACACACAAACACACCCAUGCACAAGCACACACCCAUGCACACGCACACACUCACAGCCCCUGGAAAGGACGGUAUCUGGAAAAUCAUAACCAGUGCCGUUGAACAAACUAGUCACGCUGUCUCCCUGGUGCCAGGUGUCCUGCCAGCGCAGGGGACGCCGAGACAACCAAGCUGACCCAAGACUGUGGUGUGAGAACUGGUGGCCCCAGUUGGGAAUAGAGCGUGGCAAGUGUAGGUGGGCAAAAAGGUUAAUUCGGCCUCGGGGGCUGUGGAGGGGGGCAGAUUUCCCCGCGAUGUGACCCCAAUCCUGGGGGACUGAGGAGGAGUGUGCGAGCCAACGGCUCUGUGAGGGCAAGAUGCACGGCUGUUCCCAGGGUGCAGAAGGGCCGGUGCCUCCGGCAGGACAGAGCUGGACCUUUAUCCCCAAGGAAUCCAAGUCCAACUGGAGGCACUCCCGCAAAGCCCCCGGCUCAGCAGCACCUAGAGGGACAGCCUGUCGGGGACGGAGCAGGAGGCCAAGGCCCCGGAAGGAGGAGGCAUUCUGAGCAGGACCGAGCGCAAUUCCCGGGCUGAGGGGACAGCCAGGUGGGGGAUGCACGAUCAUCCCCUGGGACCGCGCCCAGGCUUCUGACCCGGUUGGAGGAAAAUGGGCUAGGCCAAGGCCCCUGAGGUCAGGGCUGGGGCUGUCGCGGUCGCCGCCGUCCCUGGCCUAGCACAGCGGCCUCCACCGGCAGGUCCCAGGCACCGCCGUGGACCAACCGCACAGAGGAAGAGGCCAAGUGGAGACAAGGAGCCCUCCCAGCACCUUAGGGAGCGCAGAGCGCUCCACCCUGGGAACAGCUGCGUGUCCCAAAAGGGCACUUCACACCUGGGGGGGAGCCCUGCUGCGGGAUGUCUGGCAUCAUCACAGAAACCAUCUCCAGUGGGUGGCAGGGUGGCACCUGCCACAGCCGCUGCUCCGUCCUGCCCUCGGGCAAGGGCCCCGCAGUGGGUGCAGCCAGCAGCCUCCAGGGAGAGGUGAGGCCGGCAGGAGGCCGAGGGCACGCGACUUCGGCAGGACGGGCGAGAGGAGGCCCCAAAAGAGCUCAGAUCUAUCACCAGCAGGAAAUCCAUGACUGGGUCUGAGGCCAGGAGACAGAUGCACAAGACAAUUCUGUGCGUGGCGUCUUCCCUUGUCGUUGCAGCCAGUGGCCUGCCAGGGCGGUGUCGCUCCGUGUUAGAAACCUGCCAUCCCUUCAAGGUCCCCGUAGACGCCCCGGCAUCGGGUCUGCUGUGUA
This is a long non-coding RNA of Nyctereutes procyonoides (raccoon dog), 3254 nucleotides long. RefSeq lists it as uncharacterized. The record is from RefSeq and is a predicted model, not a curated record. The transcript is spliced from 4 exons. NCBI's taxonomy places the organism in Eukaryota, Metazoa, Chordata, Mammalia, Carnivora, Canidae.